UACGGGGGAGCAAGCGUUGUUCGGAUUUACUGGGCGUAAAGGGCGCGUAGGCGGCCAGCACAAGUCAGUUGUGAAAUCUCCGGGCUUAACUCGGAAAGGUCAACUGAUACUGUGCGGCUAGAGUGCAGAAGGGGCAACUGGAAUUCUCGGUGUAGCGGUGAAAUGCGUAGAUAUCGAGAGGAACACCUGCGGCGAAGGCGGGUUGCUGGGCUGACACUGACGCUGAUGCGCGAAAGCCAGGGGAGCGAACGGG
RNAcentral lists this ribosomal RNA (253 nucleotides) under uncultured bacterium. RNAcentral's name for it is "partial 16S ribosomal RNA". It matches the Rfam family "Bacterial small subunit ribosomal RNA", at positions 524 to 776 of the family's 1533-position model. The record is from RNAcentral.